RNAcentral lists this transfer RNA (73 nucleotides) under Ignavibacteriaceae bacterium. RNAcentral describes it as "tRNA-Ala". It matches the Rfam family "tRNA". Rfam says of the family: Transfer RNA (tRNA) molecules are approximately 80 nucleotides in length. Lineage: Bacteria; Pseudomonadati; Ignavibacteriota; Ignavibacteria; Ignavibacteriales; Ignavibacteriaceae. The record is from RNAcentral.
GGGGCUAUAGCUCAGUUGGUAGAGCGUCUUGUUCGCAACGAGAAGGCCACCGGUUCGAUCCCGGUUAGCUCCA